AUCUCUGGCUCCUCUGCAUUUAACCGAGAAAAUCUUUCGCCUUUUACUAAAGAUUUCCGUGCAAAGGUGCAUCUUAUGAGUAUUCACUAAUUUCUGGAAUCCCCUCGAAAGAGCGGGAU
Non-coding RNA from Ancylostoma duodenale, 119 nucleotides. NCBI's taxonomy places the organism in Eukaryota, Metazoa, Nematoda, Chromadorea, Rhabditida, Ancylostomatidae. The record is from Rfam.